Molecule: transfer RNA, 75 nt
Filed under: Rodentibacter caecimuris
Lineage: Bacteria; Pseudomonadati; Pseudomonadota; Gammaproteobacteria; Pasteurellales; Pasteurellaceae
Description: Pasteurella caecimuris tRNA-Cys
Rfam family: tRNA
About the family: Transfer RNA (tRNA) molecules are approximately 80 nucleotides in length. Their secondary structure includes four short double-helical elements and three loops (D, anti-codon, and T loops).
Source: RNAcentral
GGGUAAUUAGCUCAGUUGGGAGAGCGCCGGACGCAAUCCGGGUGUCAAUGGUUCGAUUCUAUUUAUUACCCGCUA